GAUGAACGCUGGCGGCGUGCCUAAUACAUGCAAGUCGAGCGAACAGACGAGGAGCUUGCUCCUCUGACGUUAGCGGCGGACGGGUGAGUAACACGUGGAUAACCUACCUAUAAGACUGGGAUAACUUCGGGAAACCGGAGCUAAUACCGGAUAAUAUAUUGAACCGCAUGGUUCAAUAGUGAAAGACGGUUUUGCUGUCACUUAUAGAUGGAUCCGCGCCACAUUAGCUAGUUGGUAAGGUAACGGCUUACCAAGGCAACGAUGCGUAGCCGACCUGAGAGGGUGAUCGGCCACACUGGAACUGAGACACGGUCCAGACUCCUACGGGAGGCAGCAGUAGGGAAUCGUCCGCAAUGGGCGAAAGCUUGACGGAGCAACGCCGCGUGAGUGAUGAAAGUCUUCGGAUCGUAAAACUCUGUUAUUAGGGAAGAACAAAUGUGUAAGUAACUAUGCACGUCUUGACGGUACCUAAUCAGAAAGCCACGGCUAACUACGUG
Molecule: ribosomal RNA, 497 nt
Filed under: uncultured bacterium
Lineage: Bacteria
Description: partial 16S ribosomal RNA
Rfam family: Bacterial small subunit ribosomal RNA
Source: RNAcentral